UUUCAGAUGAUAAUACUAUCUUAAUAUUAAAAAAAUAUUUUAUAUUGAUGGAUAUAUUUAUAAAUUUAGUCAAAUUUUUAUAUAAGAUUAUCUCUAACCAAUUAUCGUCAUCUUUUCAACACUAUUCUUCAAAAUAAUUUUUUCACCAAUCAAAUAUAAUAUAAUAUUUUUUCUAUUAUUUUUUUAAAUAAAUAAUUUUUAAAAAUUAUAAAAUUUUAAUUCGUAAUACUAUAUAUCCCGAUCAACUGGAUCUAAAUUAUUGCCCA
This 266-nucleotide long non-coding RNA is filed under the name Elaeis guineensis (African oil palm). Its description in RNAcentral is "long non-coding RNA (EGUI_LNC025185)". Lineage: Eukaryota; Viridiplantae; Streptophyta; Magnoliopsida; Arecales; Arecaceae. The record is from RNAcentral.